UCUUAUUUGACUACCUUUGGAGCAAAUACCUAGACCAUUCAGGUAUGACCUAAAUCAAAUCCCUUAUGAUUAUACAGUGGAAGUGAGAAAUAGAUUUAAGGGACUAGAUCUGAUAGACAGAGUGCCUGAUGAACUAUGGACUGAGGUUCGUGACAUUGUACAGGAGACAGGGAUCAAGACCAUCCCCAUGGAAAAGAAAUACAAAAAAGCAAAAUGGCUGGCUGAGGAGGCCUUACAAAUAGCUGUGAAAAGAAGAGAAGCAAAAAGCAAAGGAGAAAAGGAAAGAUAUAAGCAUCUGAAUGCAGAGUUCCAAAAAAUAGCAAGAAGAGAUAAGAAAGCCUUCCUUGGCGAUCAAUGCAAAGAAAUAGAGGAAAACAACAGAAUGGGAAAGACUAGAGAUCUCUUCAAGAAAAUUAGAGAUACCAAGGGAACAUUUCAUGCAAAGAUGGGCUUGAUAAAGGACAGAAAUGGUAUGGACCUAACAGAAGCAGAAGAUAUUAAGAAGAGAUGGCAAGAAUACACAGAAGAACUGUACAAAAAAGAUCUUCACAACACAGAUAAUCAUGAUGGUGUGAUCACUCACCUAGAGCCAGACAUCCUGGAAUGUAAAGUCAAGUGGGCCUUAGAAAGCAUCACUAGGAACAAAGCUAGUGGAGGUGAUGGAAUUCCAGUUGAGCUAUUUCAAAUCCUGAAAGAUGAUGCUGUGAAAGUGCUGCACUCAAUAUGCCAGCAAAUUUGGAAAACUCAGCAGUGGCCACAGGACUGGAAAAGGGCAGUUUUCAUUCCAACCCCAAAGAAAGGCAAUGCCAAAGAAUGCUCAAACUACCGCACAAUUGCACUCAUCUCACACGCUAGUAAAGUAAUGCUCAAAAUUCUCCAAGCCAGGCUUCAGCAAUAUAUGAACCGUGAACUUCCAGAUAUUCAAGUUAGUUUUAGAAAAGGCAGAGGAACCAGAGAUCAAAUUGCCAACAUCCGCUGGAUCAUCAAAAAAGCAAGAGAGUUCCAGAAAAACAUCUAUUUCUGCUUCAUUGACUAUGCCAAAGCCUUUGACUGUGUGGAUCACAAUCAACU
This 1071-nucleotide long non-coding RNA is filed under the name Bos indicus x Bos taurus (hybrid cattle). RNAcentral describes it as "lncRNA (ENSBIXG00000013548.1)". Lineage: Eukaryota; Metazoa; Chordata; Mammalia; Artiodactyla; Bovidae. The record is from RNAcentral.